Molecule: ribosomal RNA, 496 nt
Filed under: uncultured bacterium
Lineage: Bacteria
Description: partial 16S ribosomal RNA
Rfam family: Bacterial small subunit ribosomal RNA
Source: RNAcentral
AUGAACGCUGGCGGCGUGCCUAAUACCUGCAAGUCGAGCGAACAGACGAGGAGCUUGCUCCUCUGACGUUAGCGGCGGACGGGUGAGUAACACGUGGAUAACCUACCUAUAAGACUGGGAUAACUUCGGGAAACCGGAGCUAAUACCGGAUAAUAUAUUGAACCGCAUGGUUCAAUAGUGAAAGACGGUUUUGCUGUCACUUAUAGAUGGAUCCGCGCCGCAUUAGCUAGUUGGUAAGGUAACGGCUUACCAAGGCGACGAUGCGUAGCCGACCUGAGAGGGUGUUCGGCCACACUGGAACUGAGACACGGUCCAGACUCCUACGGGAGGCAGCAGUAGGGAAUCUUCCGCAAUGGGCGAAAGCCUGACGGAGCAACGCCGCGUGAGUGAUGAAGGUCUUCGGAUCGUAAAACUCUGUUAUUAGGGAAGAACAAAUGUGUAAGUAACUAUGCACGUCUUGACGGUACCUAAUCAGAAAGCCACGGCUAACUACGUG